RNAcentral lists this transfer RNA (74 nucleotides) under Blautia massiliensis (ex Durand et al. 2017). RNAcentral's name for it is "tRNA-Met". It matches the Rfam family "tRNA". Rfam says of the family: Transfer RNA (tRNA) molecules are approximately 80 nucleotides in length. Their secondary structure includes four short double-helical elements and three loops (D, anti-codon, and T loops). Lineage: Bacteria; Bacillati; Bacillota; Clostridia; Lachnospirales; Lachnospiraceae. The record is from RNAcentral.
GGCGGAAUAGCUCAGCUGGCUAGAGCACACGGUUCAUACCCGUGGUGUCGAGGGUUCGAAUCCCCCUCUCGCUA